UGGGGAAUAUUGCACAAUGGGCGCAAGCCUGAUGCAGCCAUGCCGCGUGUGUGAAGAAGGCCUUCGGGUUGUAAAGCACUUUCAGCGGGGAGGAAGGCGGUGAGGUUAAUAACCUCAUCGAUUGACGUUACCCGCAGAAGAAGCACCGGCUAACUCCGUGCCAGCAGCCGCGGUAAUACGGAGGGUGCAAGCGUUAAUCGGAAUUACUGGGCGUAAAGCGCACGCAGGCGGUUGAUUGAGUCAGAUGUGAAAUCCCCGGGCUUAACCCGGGAAUUGCAUCUGAUACUGGUCAGCUAGAGUCUUGUAGAGGGGGGUAGAAUUCCAUGUGUAGCGGUGAAAUGCGUAGAGAUGUGGAGGAAUACCGGUGGCGAAGGCGGCCCCCUGGACGAAGACUGACGCUCAGGUGCGAAAGCGUGGGGAGCAAACAGG
Molecule: ribosomal RNA, 429 nt
Filed under: Chloroflexota bacterium
Lineage: Bacteria; Bacillati; Chloroflexota
Description: Chloroflexi bacterium partial 16S ribosomal RNA
Rfam family: Bacterial small subunit ribosomal RNA
Source: RNAcentral